Molecule: ribosomal RNA, 168 nt
Filed under: Archidendropsis granulosa
Lineage: Eukaryota; Viridiplantae; Streptophyta; Magnoliopsida; Fabales; Fabaceae
Description: 5.8S ribosomal RNA
Rfam family: 5.8S ribosomal RNA
About the family: 5.8S ribosomal RNA (5.8S rRNA) is a component of the large subunit of the eukaryotic ribosome. It is transcribed by RNA polymerase I as part of the 45S precursor that also contains 18S and 28S rRNA. Functionally, it is thought that 5.8S rRNA may be involved in ribosome translocation.
Source: RNAcentral
GACUCUCGGCAACGGAUAUCUCGGCUCUUGCAUCGAUGAAGAACGUAGCGAAAUGCGAUACUUGGUGUGAAUUGCAGGAUCCCGUGAACCAUCGAGUCUUUGAACGCAAGUUGCGCCCGAAGCCGUCAGGCCGAGGGCACGCCUGCCUGGGUGUCACGCAACGUCGCC